GGAUAUCCUUCUUAACACUUGAGUGCUGGUUUGGUGGUCAUAAAUUUCUUCAGGUGUUCUUUGUCAUGGCCGGGGUACCUGGAUUCAGACACAGAAUGGUGUGGAUGAUGUGUCGAAAGUCCGGGGAAACCUCUUCUCUCCAGAACAAGAAUUUAGAAAGUCUCUGGGAGGAAUCCAGAGUCCUGGGCCAGUGGUGACACUCGCUUAUACCUAUGUCUUCAAGAAUUUUGCCUAUGUAAUCUCACAGCAGAGUGUCAUCGUCCAUAAGCGAAACUGACGCUCGAGCAAGGCUUGUCCAUAUAAGCAGUGGAUCACAAAUAAUGACCCGAGUGGCUGCCCGCAAGCUGAUGCAAUUCCCGGCCCCUUACACCAGCCUCCGCUGCAUAACCAAGACCCUUCCAGCCAGCUCCCUCUCCUUCUUCCUUCGCCUGUAGGCCACCGUUCCGCAGCGGCUCUACAAUAAAUCUCUCCUAUGAGCUCUGUCGGUGUGCGGAGCGAUCUUUGGCAGGUGCCGGUUUCUUUCAGUGCUAAAACCGGCAAAGUCCGAAGCAAGUUAGAACUGGUUAGAACUGGUCACUUGAGGAAUCAAUGAGGGAGUGCCUUUUCCUAAAGAGGAAAGAGUUGAAACACAAUGGUGAGUUUGGGUUCUUCGGCCAGUCCACCACUGCUUCCUUAUCUCGCACGUCUACAAAUUCGAAAGUCCUGCCAAAGACAGCUCUGUUGGACAAGGGUGGCUCAGGGGUGUCCCACGUGCAUGGGAGGCUCUGGGUUUAACCCCAGCGCCUUGCGAAAA
Molecule: long non-coding RNA, 793 nt
Organism: Fukomys damarensis (Damara mole-rat)
Lineage: Eukaryota; Metazoa; Chordata; Mammalia; Rodentia; Bathyergidae
Exons: 4
Source: RefSeq, a predicted model, not a curated record